RNAcentral lists this ribosomal RNA (777 nucleotides) under uncultured Neocallimastigales. Its description in RNAcentral is "partial large subunit ribosomal RNA". It matches the Rfam family "Eukaryotic large subunit ribosomal RNA", at positions 24 to 635 of the family's 3401-position model. The record is from RNAcentral. Lineage: Eukaryota; Fungi; Neocallimastigomycota; Neocallimastigomycetes; Neocallimastigales.
UAUCUCUGUAGAGUCUGCAUAUCAAUAAGCGGAGGAAAAGAAACUAACUAGGAUUCCCCUCAGUAACGGCGAGUGAAGCGGGAAGAGCUCAAAUUUGAAAUCUUCAAGGUUCUACCUUGACGAAUUGUAGUUUAAAGAAGUGUUUUCUGUUGGAGUUUUGGUAAAAGUUCUUUGGAAUAGGACAUCAUAGAGGGUGAGAAUCCCGUAUUUGACCGUUAUUUUCCAGCUGUGUGAUACACUUUCAAAGAGUCGGAUUGUUUGGGAAUGCAGUCCAAAAUGGGUGGUAAAUUUCAUCUAAAGCUAAAUACUGGCGAGAGACCGAUAGCGAACAAGUACCGUGAGGGAAAGAUGAAAAGAACUUUGAAAAGAGAGUUAAACAGUACGUGAAAUUGUCAAAAGGGAAGCGUUUGACACCAGUGUUGUUUUCUCGAAAAUCAAUUAAAAAAGGCAGGAUUUUGUGUUGUAUUGACUUUAUCAGCUUUCUGCACUCUUUUCUUGUCUUUUUUUAAUGCACUUUUCGUUUAACAAGUCAACAUCAAUUUCUUUUGUUGUAAAAGGGUCAUUGGAAGGUGGCUUUCUUUUCGGAGAAAGUGUUUAUAGCCUUUGGCCUCUGCAAUCGGAGAGAUUGAGGUCUGCAGCGUAGAUCCUUCGGGGUUAGAUACAUUUGUGCUAAGUUAUAGCCUUUCAUAGACAACUUGUUGACUAUGAUCAGUCAUGUAGCUUACUCGCUUAUGCUAUUUUACCUACGCUUAGGAUGUUGAAGAUGUAGCACAUCAU